GACGAAGGGGGCUAGCGUUGUUCGGAAUUACUGGGCGUAAAGCGCGUGUAGGCGGUUGUCCAAGUUGGAUGUGAAAGCCUUGAGCUCAACUCAAGAAAUGCAUUCAGGACUGGAUGACUAGAGGACCGGAGAGGAUAGUGGAAUUCCCAGUGUAGUGGUGAAAUACGUAGAGAUUGGGAAGAACACCAGUGGCGAAGGCGGCUAUCUGGACGGUUUCUGACGCUAAGACGCGAAAGCAUGGGGAGCAAACAGG
RNAcentral lists this ribosomal RNA (253 nucleotides) under uncultured bacterium. RNAcentral describes it as "partial 16S ribosomal RNA". It matches the Rfam family "Bacterial small subunit ribosomal RNA", at positions 524 to 776 of the family's 1533-position model. The record is from RNAcentral.